ACCUCAACCGGAUGUGUUUUGACACUUUGCAGACAGUUUCAAAACGCUUUUAGGAUAUCUACACCCUUAUCAGCUCAACAGUCUGCUCUCACGUUGACCAAAUCUCAGUCUUAUACUCACAGAUUGAAAGGUCCAUGAAGAGACACAGUGGUGAAGGAGAGAGAAGACGCUCUCCGCCUGCUCCAGACAGGUCAGGAGAGAGCAAGACCUGGGGCCUGGAGAAAGGAUGUCUUUGGACAGGUCUACUAGUAUACUGGUCUACUGGCUUCGUCUAGAGAAACACCUCCUAUGCUAAGAACAGAAAGCAGAACGGAGAGAGACAAAAGCAAGCCGGGCUCCAGGAGAAGUUUCCUCAAAUGAAGGCCCGGACAUCAUGAGACUGUUAAUGACCAAUAAACAUUAUUCUCUCUGCUGCCAUUCAGAUUGGAGCUUGUGACUGUAUCUAACUUAAUUUACCCCCUGUUUUUUGCAUAAAUAUGUCUGUCAGUCAUCAGCAUUUAUUUGAUGUUGGUAGACUGUAGCAUUUGUAUGUCUUUCUCUGUAUCAUGAUGCCUUGACAUUGGUUAUUAAUAUUAAAGUGAUGUACAGACUGA
This is a long non-coding RNA of Oncorhynchus kisutch (coho salmon), 593 nucleotides long. RefSeq lists it as uncharacterized. The transcript is spliced from 3 exons. NCBI's taxonomy places the organism in Eukaryota, Metazoa, Chordata, Actinopteri, Salmoniformes, Salmonidae. The record is from RefSeq and is a predicted model, not a curated record.